Molecule: long non-coding RNA, 531 nt
Filed under: Mytilus galloprovincialis (Mediterranean mussel)
Lineage: Eukaryota; Metazoa; Mollusca; Bivalvia; Mytilida; Mytilidae
Source: RNAcentral
GGUCUGUAGUAUGAUUGGUGGCAUUCCAUGUCAAUAAAUAAGUUUAAUUUUGCAGAUAGCGAAAAUAAGAGAAUGGCGUACAUUGGGUCCAAUACUACCAAAAGAAGAAAAACCUGUGGUCCCUCGAAAACGAAAAGUAUUUAACUUUAAUGAGUGAAGGUGUUAGACCCUCCGGACUUAGGGUCUAGAUUUAUGUUUGUGUUUAAAGAUUUGUGAUAUUUCCGGUUCAAGUGUCUGGUUCCCAUGCCUGUCCAUUAUUGUUCAUGCGCUUGUAAAAUAAAAUUAAGUUAGAGAUUUUCAUGAUUAGAUUUAAAUAGUUUUGAACAGAUCCAGAUAUCAACAAUAUCAGGUGUGUGAUUCCGACUUGUAAAUUUACAUAAAAGAGGGACGAAAGAUACCAAAGGGACAGUCAAACUCAUAAAUCCAAAACAAACUGGCAAUGCCAUGGCUAAAAAUGAAAAAGACAAACAGAAAAACAAUAGUACACGUGACACAACAUAGAAAACUAAAGAAUUAACAACACGAACCCCA